CCAGAAAGCACGUGCUGCCCAGUGGCUUCCGGAAGUUCCUGGUCCACAAUGUCAAGGAGCUGAGAGUGCUGCUGAUAUGCAACAAAUGAGAAGAAUAAUGUCUGGGGUGAAGGUGAAGCACCCAGCCCAAGACUCAGCAGCCAGGAAGUGGCCCAGCGCUCUUUAUACCACGGGUGCAGGAAUUCACACAGAAAAGUGGAGGCCAAGGCGUGAGAAUUCCUCAAUGACUGCCCUCUAAAGGAAGAGGACCAGGCUUCCUGUCAGAGACUGAGGACCCAGGAAGAAACAUGUCUCGGCCCCUGUCCCCCUCCACAAUUCAGAGGCCACAUUCUAACAGGGGAGGCUGACCAAUUAAACAGAUAAUGACACCUCCUAGAGCUAAGAGCUCUCCGACUAUGAACCAGAUGCCUGGAGAACACGGAUGAAUGGUCUGAGCAUGAGCAGGGGUGGGAGGCAGCGUUAAGGGAGGCAUCAGAGUCAGAACCUAGCAAACAAGUGUUUGUGAAGAAGAAUUCAUAGAAAAGGGCAAUGCGGGCAUCACAUGGGCUAAGGAACAGAGGGGUAGCAGUAGCUGUUGUGCCAAGCUGCAGGUGUUAUACACUACCCUCUAGAUCUGGGUUUCCUUAAAACACCUUGAGAGGACAACCCUGCAAAGCACGGCACAGUGGCCGAGAGGGAAAGGAGCAUUCGAGGUCUCAGUCCUCGCUCUGAGCCUACUUCUCUGCUUCUGGGCUCCAGCCAUCUUUGUGGAAAGGGGG
This 758-nucleotide long non-coding RNA is filed under the name Homo sapiens (human). RNAcentral's name for it is "non-protein coding lnc-EFCAB12-2:12". The record is from RNAcentral. Lineage: Eukaryota; Metazoa; Chordata; Mammalia; Primates; Hominidae.